CCUACGGGAGGCAGCAGUGAGGAAUAUUGGUCAAUGGACGAGAGUCUGAACCAGCCAAGUAGCGUGAAGGAUGACUGCCCUAUGGGUUGUAAACUUCUUUUAUAUGGGAAUAAAAUGUUCCACGUGUGGGAUUUUGUAUGUACCAUAUGAAUAAGGAUCGGCUAACUCCGUGCCAGCAGCCGCGGUAAUACGGAGGAUCCGAGCGUUAUCCGGAUUUAUUGGGUUUAAAGGGAGCGUAGGUGGAUUGUUAAGUCAGUUGUGAAAGUUUGCGGCGCAACCGUAAAAUUGCAGUUGAAACUGGCAGUCUUGAGUACAGUAGAGGUGGGCGGAAUGCGUGGUGUAGCGGUGAAAUGCUUAGAGAUCACGAAGAACUCCGAUUGCGAAGGCAGUUCACUGGACUGCAACUGACACUGAGGCUCGAAAGUGUGGGUAUCAAACAGGAUUAGAUACCCGGGUAGUC
This 460-nucleotide ribosomal RNA is filed under the name uncultured bacterium. Its description in RNAcentral is "partial 16S ribosomal RNA". It matches the Rfam family "Bacterial small subunit ribosomal RNA", at positions 338 to 795 of the family's 1533-position model. The record is from RNAcentral.